This 522-nucleotide ribosomal RNA is filed under the name Maira sp. D034. RNAcentral describes it as "partial 16S ribosomal RNA". It matches the Rfam family "Bacterial large subunit ribosomal RNA", at positions 1795 to 2587 of the family's 2925-position model. The record is from RNAcentral. Lineage: Eukaryota; Metazoa; Arthropoda; Insecta; Diptera; Asilidae.
UUCGCCUGUUUUACAAAAACAUGUCCUUUAGAAUUAAAUUUUAGGUCUGCCCUGCCCAUUGAUUAAAUUAAAAGGCCGCAGUAUCUUAACUGUGCAAAGGUAGCAUAAUCAUUAGUUUUUUAAUUGGAAACUGGUAUGAAGGGUUGGACGAGGCACUAACUGUUUCUUUUAAAUUAAUUAGAAUUUUAUUUUUUAGUUAAAAAGCUAAAAUUAAAUUUAAAGACGAGAAGACCCUAUAGAUCUUUAUAAUUAUUUAAUUUUUGUUAUGAGGAUUAAUUAAAUGAUAAUUAAUUAUAUUAUUUUGUUGGGGUGACAUAAAGAUUUAUUUAACUCUUUAAUUUUUUUUACAUUGAUAUAUGAUAUAUUUGAUCCUUUAUUAGAGAUUAAUAAAUUAAGUUACCUUAGGGAUAACAGCGUAAUUUUUUUGGAGAGUUCUUAUCGAUAAAAGAGAUUGCGACCUCGAUGUUGGAUUAAGAGAUAUAUCCUAGGUGCAGAAGCUAGAAAAAUUAGUCCGGUCCACUA